GUAACGGCGAGUGAAGCGGGAAGAGCUCAACAUUGUAAUCUGGCUGCUUCGCAGUCCGAGUUGUAGUCUAUAGAAGCAUGAUCCGCGCCGGCCCUUGGGCAUGUCUGUUGGAACGCAGUGUCAAAGAGGGUGAAAAUCCCGUACAUACCAAGGACGACCGUGUGCAUUGUGGUCUGCUCUCUAAGAGUCGAGUUGUUUGGGAAUGCAGCUCUAAUUGGGUGGUAAAUUCCAUCUAAAGCUAAAUAUCGACGAGAGACCGAUAGCGAACAAGUACAGUAAUGGAAAGAUGAAAAGUAGCCUGCAGAGGCAAUGAAACAAUACGUGAAACCGUUUGUAGGGAAGCGAUGGAACCUUUUCACGCUGCGAGGGUUCAGCUUGGCUUCGGCUUAGUGUAUUCCCUCGUUUUGCGGACCAGCAUCAGUUUGCUUCGCAGUAUAAGGGUGAUUGGAACGUGGCUUCUCCGGAAGUGUUAUAGCCUUUCACUGGAUGCUGUGUCGCAGACUGAGGACUGCAGUGCGCCGUAAGGCAUGGCCUUCGGGCCACGAGCACUUAGGAUGCUGGGCGAAUGGGUUUCAACGACCCGUCUUGAAACACGGACCA
RNAcentral lists this ribosomal RNA (600 nucleotides) under Sterigmatomyces halophilus. RNAcentral's name for it is "partial large subunit ribosomal RNA". It matches the Rfam family "Eukaryotic large subunit ribosomal RNA", at positions 83 to 668 of the family's 3401-position model. Lineage: Eukaryota; Fungi; Basidiomycota; Agaricostilbomycetes; Agaricostilbales; Agaricostilbaceae. The record is from RNAcentral.